Molecule: ribosomal RNA, 2790 nt
Filed under: Triticum aestivum (bread wheat)
Lineage: Eukaryota; Viridiplantae; Streptophyta; Magnoliopsida; Poales; Poaceae
Description: partial small subunit ribosomal RNA
Source: RNAcentral
GAACGGUUUCUAUGUAUACUAUAACUCAGAUUAUAACAAACGUUAGUUUAAAGAACCAUCAAAAGUAGGUUCUUUCUGUGCGAAACCAUAAGGAUCGGCGUCCGUGUGAGAAAACCGCUGAGAAGGGAGAACCUACGAGGACCUGUGGCCAUACGAGGAGACCCAGUGAAAAGUGAGAAGUUGAGUACUUCCCCCAGAUCUUAAAGUUGGAAACAUCCAAUUUAACAUACACACCUUUGUUAACAACAGUAGAUAAAACGUCUAUAAUUUUGGGUUUUAAAACUUUCGAGUAUACACACGUACUCUGUUCAUCAUUCUACGUAAACUACAACGAAACUAUAAUGGGGUAUCUUCACAGGGUUUAAUUAUGAGGGAGGCGGGGUAUUAUAUUCUUGUGAAAAGUUCCAUUUUUUUUAACUUUUUGUAAGAAUAUAAUACCCUGUUUCCCUCAUUGUAUAAAUCAGCGGGUCACUCCUCUUUUUAGAAUGUACACAAGUAGUUUCUACACAACACUACAUAACUUAGAACUAUACGAAAAUACAUUCAAACGUAUCACGUACCUUACAUGGGGUUUAGCCACGUGUACAAAUACUAAACACAUGAUUUUAAAACCUGCACGUAACGUGCACGUUCGAAUGAUAAUAUGUUUCUUUUCUUCCGUCGUCCGUUGUCAAAUGGUACUCGUUCACACCGUUCGUGUUCGUGGACGAAGAAGGAAUGACCCACACGCUCUACCAAGCAAGUAACUGAAGCUCGGAUGACAUAGCUACCAUUAAUAUAGUUGUCAUUACAGAAAGGAAAGCAGAAGACAGUAUCCAUAUACAUGCCGACGUUGGAGUCACUCAUGAGUGGUAGCCUGGCUUGUAUACUCACAAGUUACGUUAUUCGUUUGCCACUGUUGCCAAGGACUGUACGUUCGCCUCCUAGUAUUAGGUCCACGUUGAGACUGGCCUUGGCCCCUUGAAAAGGGCUGCUUGUGUGGUCAAGUACUAGUACCCUUACUUUUAAGUUUACCACGAGUACCAACCAUACGGGCUGACAGACUACUCUUUUCUCGCCUUAUGUUGGUCUUCACAGUAUGUAAUAUGGGCGAAAUAUUAAGUCGUGGUAACUUAACAGUUAAAGGUCCUACGUAAAUGAAGAUAGAUAGUACUGUAAGACGUGCGAGAGGAAUCUACCGUGACGUGUUAAUGUUGAUUAUUAAUACUCGGGAGGUUAGAUUUACUUAGUGUCCUUUACAUCUCAAAAUCAUUCUCAGUCACCCUCGUAAGAUGUACGGUAGCAGUUCUUUUCUCCCUUGUUAGUUAUAAUAUCUUAUGAUUUCACCCAUUUAACAACAAGACGAAACAAGAGGUUUGUCUAGAGAAGGAACCAUAUUUAAAUACUACACAUGAGUUAGACAACAUAAUUAUUCAUAGUGUGACCUUAAUCGGACAGGUUAUCGAAUUAUAUAAAAUGUUAUCUAAAGUGAAAAACAAAAAAAAUAAGAUUUCUUUUUUUAUGAAUUACAAUCAUAUAGGAUCUGGAAAAGUAAACUUGAGGUACUAAGGGAUUAUCUAUAUUGUCAAUAGAACAAAGUCAAUCCUCUUUUUUACUUAAACAAACAGGCUGGAAUGUAUUAGAGAUUUAUAACGCCAGCAUAGAAUAUUGAAUAGAAAAUCAAAGAGAAACGGUGAUUCGUGUUGUAAAAAACAUCCGAUGGUUCGUAACCGUAUGAUGAAUAUUAGAAGGAUAGUACAAUACGUUUUCCACUUAGACAUGAGUAAUUUGAAACAAUUUAUCAUCCAGGAGGAUUGACAUACGGUUUUAGAUUAAUAAAGAGACACAGAUAUCAUACAAUCAGGUCGUUUUACCUACAAGAACUCAUACUUUAAAACGACCGACCAAUUCUAAACUAAAUAUCAAUAAUCAUCGUAAAGUCCAUCCACAUCAAGAACGAUUCAAAAAAAUGUGCUAAGACUUAACUAUUAUCUGAUUUUAGAGCUCUAUUAACUAUCCUGGUUCCAUGCAUAACAAAUAUUACUGAGCACAAUACUAUUACGUUCUAUCUAAUCUUUCUCUCACGUACUUAGUAAAGCUAUCUUAUAAUUUUUGAAUGUAUACGUGAACAAGUAUACAUUCAUAGGUAUCCCUGGACGGAAUACAGAGACACACACACACGCGCGCGCACACACAUACACACGCACACGCACACGCACACGCACACGCACACACACACAAUAAGGUAGGUGCUUCAGCGGUGGUUCUUGCCAAGUGACUAUCAUAGUCGCACGUACAAAGGUAGGGCUCACCUCCAGUCCAAUAAUUAGUUGUACCUCCGCACGGAAUCGGACCUAGGGUUGUUCUAGUAGCCCUCGAAGCCCUUUAAACUCUGCGGGCAAGAGGUACACCGGUUGCGGUUGAUCGAUGUCCGUAACGCGGCCGGAGCCGUCCCCAGCCAGUUCGGGUUAGUGGUAAAACCCUGUCGAAAGUACUUUACCGAUCCAACUCGGUUCGACCUUUUAUACUCCUAAAAGAGGUUCGUCCUGGACUCGAGUUACGUGGUUCUUGUUGUAGUUAACUUCGUUGUGAAGUACAUAUAUAUAUUACAUAACACUCGGAACCUAGCUCGAGUACACACUCCGAUUACAUAACACUCGGAAAAUGAAACUUUACACACUAUUACUACACUGUCUCAAUACCUAACACCUGUCGUUUAAAUACACUGUUAAGACAUUAUACCACGGAUUAAUUCACAUCUAGACUAAUAAACCAAAAACUUGUACACCUCAUGGGUACUACCGGACUGUU